RNAcentral lists this unclassified non-coding RNA (2831 nucleotides) under Ooceraea biroi (clonal raider ant). RNAcentral describes it as "uncharacterized LOC105284227, transcript variant X1". The record is from RNAcentral. Lineage: Eukaryota; Metazoa; Arthropoda; Insecta; Hymenoptera; Formicidae.
GCCGGGCGUCUCGACGCGGCAGCACGUUGCGUCGGGGUAUUCAGCACGCGACUUUGGUCCCAUAAUUCAGUGUGUGCAUCCUCGAUCUCUCUUCCUGUCUCUAUCUUUUUCUCUUCAUUCAUUCCUCUGAUUAUCUAUCGCUCCUUUCUCGCCAAUUCUUGGGGAUUCUUCACGGACGUCCAUCCGGUCACCCCGCGUCGCCCUCGCCUGCUCGAGGGUUCGCGAUCGGACCCGCCCACCCGCGCGCGAGUGACUUUCCCCUACCCCCUCCGACGCCGAUUGCUCCUCUCCUUCCCUCCCUCCCUCGAUCGCGCAGGAAAACAGCGUCGCGACGCGUGCAGUCGCGUCCGCCGAAGUCCCGAAUCUGGGAGCGCUUUUCGGGACCGGCGAGAGAAGGCCGUUUACAAGGGCUCGGCACGGGCUGAUUUUCUCGGCGGUUCCUUUUUUUCUUUCUAUCCCAUUGUUCCCCGUUCUGCACCCCGUUCGCGCACGGCGGGACCUGUCAUGGGGGAGGAUCUGCCCUCCGGAGACGCCCGGCACGGUUAGUUCCAGGUGAAACCGAAGGUGCGCCAGGUAUCGGCGCCACCGCCGGAGGAUUGCGAGUGACGUUUACAACGUUCCGACGAAUUUCGGCGAAAGCCUCGCCGAUCGACGGCGAUCGGUCGUGCGUUUGCGUCGAGCAGUAGUCACAAUAUUCACGAAGGGUGACACGUCGCGCGUUCCCUCCCAGCGCCGGGACGGCCCGUAAGGGCGCCGAUCGUGACGGUGGAGGGUGCUACGCACCCCAGUGGUCCAGUGUGCGAUCCAUCCGAUCUCGACUGUGACGAUUAUCGUGAUCAUCGUGAUUCAUGCUAAUCGCUAAAAAGUGUCGUGCCGGAUUAUUUUAUUGCAUCGAUAGUCUUUGACAGUGAUUUACGGAAGAAGGAUUACGAGGAAAGAGUCAUAAGUGACGUGUAGUGACGUUUUGUGGACCGAUCGAGAGUAUUUUGGAAGUGACUGGUUAUGGCCGUGACGAGAUCGAUCUCGAUCUUCCGGAUGGAUGGUGGCGGUAGCGAGGACAUUAGGGGUUCGCGGAGGUGCAAUCCACGGGCGGGGGUGAGAUUCGGCGAUCGCCGAGCGUCUAGGGGAUCGUCCGGUGUUGAAGGUGGAUCGGUUAUGGCGACGCGCGGUGGUUCCGGCAAAUUUCUUCUGGUUGGCGCUGUUCUGGCCAUACAGUUUGUUGGCGCGGCGGCGAUAUCCAGCAAGGCCACGAGCAGCGACAUCAGAGUGGAAUUCAAGAUGCCAACAGAGGCCGUGGUGGGUACCUCGGUCGAUCUCAAGUGCGAGUGGCGAAUACUGGGUGUGAGCAAUCUCUAUUCGGUCAAAUGGUACAAGGAUGAUCACGAGUUCUUCCGAUAUGUGCCGGACAACAACCCGAAAACUCAGAUGUUUCCUCGACUCGGCGUGAAAGUCGAGAAGAGAUCGAGCAGCGAGAAAUCGAGCAACCAGAAAUCGAUACGGUUGAAGGACCUCGUCCUGGAGAGCUCAGGACAGUACAAAUGCGAAGUCUCCACCGAGGCGCCGUUCUUCGCUACCACUUUCCAGACGGCCAAUCUGACGGUAAUUUCGCUUCCGGAGAGGGGACCGGAAAUCACGGGCCUGUCCUCGCACUACGCCGUCGGCGAGAACGUGACUGCCAACUGCACCUCCUGGCCGUCCGUGCCUAAGGCCAAUCUACGUUGGACCAUCAACGGCGAACCGGUGCCACACGAGUACACUGUCCAGUAUCCUCCGCUGGCGCCCAUGAGUACCGGGGGCAUCCCGAACAGUCUAGGAUUGCGAUUGGAGGUCGAGCCGCGGCAUUUUGUGGGCGGCGGCCUGGUCAACAUCAAAUGCAUCGCGCAGGUGGGCUCGCGGAGCUACAACGAGGAGCGUAGGGUGCUGAUGGCGUACGUGAACAACCAAAGGCUCAGCGCCGGCGAUCACAUGCACGCGGCUGCACGCAGCAUCCGCUCAGGCCUCCUCGCACCGUUGCUCACGGCGAUUCUCGCGCUCAUCCUGCUCACGACGUGACCUACCGGCCUCCUAGCUCGCGGACAUCCUGUGCGGUCUUUGUGACUCGCCCUCGUGUUACUGGCUGAUGUCGUGCGAAUUUAAAGGGCCCAACAGGGGAAAGCGACCCGUUGAUGUACGGAGAACGACGACGCUUCUUGAUGCCCCGCACUGCUCUACAGGGAAAUCAAGACGGACCACGACUUAUCCUUCUUCCCCUGCAGCUACGCACCGACGUAACAGUGCUUGAUGUGCCGUGAACCCGGAGACAAGAUCGAUUUGGGAGCAAGUUGCAGAGUUCUCCGAACCUGAGGGCAUCCUAAUUAAGUUUCCAUCCUAAUGAAAGUGUUUCGCCGCAAAGUCUGCCGACGAAGUGCCGUUCAACCGUGCUCGAGACCCCUCCGGACAGUGCAAAUCUUUCCUUAGGACUUCUUGGAACUUGGAACGAGACGUCCGCGAAAACGAUUAAAUCCAGUCACUUACUCAAGCGAAACAUCAAAGCCGACCGAUCUCAAUCUCGCCCUACAUCAUCUCUUUUUAUUUAAAUUAAAUUCUCCAUUAUCUUGGAGAUAUCUAAAUCGCUUAUUUAAAUUACUUAUAUCAAGAAGCUCGGAAUUGAAUUGAUAUAUAAUACUGUUAUUUCGAGUCGCUUUCCAUGCUAAAUGCAAGAGAUAAUGUUAUACGGAUCUCUCAUGCACGAAAAUGUGGGUAUAAUUUGCGUUCGGAAGCGAGCGUAAUAUGAUUUCCAUCUCCUUAGAGAGGUAUAUUGUAUCCAAUAUGUAUUACAAUGAAUGAGUAUA